RNAcentral lists this long non-coding RNA (3906 nucleotides) under Homo sapiens (human). RNAcentral describes it as "HSALNT0393224". The record is from RNAcentral. Lineage: Eukaryota; Metazoa; Chordata; Mammalia; Primates; Hominidae.
AUGGGAAUUACGGGAGUACAAUUCAAGAAGAUUUAGGUGGGGACACAAAGCCAAACCAUAUUACAAGGUUUAUAGGCUUGCAGUAAGUAAAGAAUACCAUUUUCUGACAAGCCCAGGAACUUCAGGAUAUUUGGGGGACCUCAAAAAAGAGGGAUUUACCCAAUUCAUACAAGUAUUACAGGCAAAAUCUGAGGGUGAAUUGUUGGCCCGGCUUCCAAUCUUAAGAGGCUUUUAAAGAUUGAACCUGAAAUUCCUUAUAAAAAAAAGUUUCAGUCAAGUCAAUUUAAAAAGUGCUUACAUGGCCAAGUACUAUUCUGGCUGUACUUUAGUCAAAUAAUCAGGCCAAGUAUAACAAGUCUAAAACUUUAUUUUGCAAAUAAAUUGGUCCUACUCUCCUGCAGGGAGCUGUCCUCCUCCUUUCACCUGUUAAACGUCCACUCUCAACCUCACUCUCCAUGUGUCUGUAUCCUUUAGUUCCUCAGCCGUGAGACAAUGAUCCCAGGGUACCGCCCCAGACAAUGAGGCCAUUUCACUUGCACACUCACUUGUACACUCGAUUUGUCCCACUCUAGGCCCCCUACUAGGUACCUUGGGUAAGUAAUACAGCAUAUUUUUCUCCUAUGUUUUCUUAAAAUAAGUAAUGGGGAUACUAGAAGCUGCAAUCUCAGUUAUGCCAACAAUUAUGGAAUCCAUGGGAAGCACUUGUUACAGGACUUGGACCUGGUGAGCAUCUGUAUUUUUUCUGUGGCUGCUGUAACAAAUUACUACCAACUUGGUGAUUUAAAACAAUUCACACAGUAGAGAUGGCCUGAGUUCAAAGCACUUUCACGGGGCUAAAAUCGAGGUAUUUUGGGAGAGCUGCACUCCUUCUGGAGGCUCUUGGGGAGCACCAGCCCUUGGCUCUCCUGACUUCAGGUGGCUGCCAGCACUCCUUGGCUGCAGUGGCCUCACUGCAAUCUCUGUCUCUGUAGUCAUGCAGGGGCCAAGGCAACACUUCCCCUUCACCCUCUGAAGGCUUGCUAGUAAAUAAACUGACAAAAGGCAGAUUAAUUGGAGGAAAGGCGUGAACAUUUAUUAAUAGGUGCCUGGGGGAGAGCCACAGAGUGAUUGUCCCAUAUUCCAAUGGGGCCCAGAUACUUGUAUAGCCCUAUUUCAGAGGGGAAGAGGAGAUGGGAAUGUAGGUAAUUACAGGAUGAUAAAUGAUUACUGAAGAGAAUAAAUAGAUCAGGGAACAGGAAUUCACUUGUAAAUCAUGCUCUUUGAAAAUUGACUGAGACUGAGAGAUAGAUAUUGUCUUGUGAAAGUCUGUGCUGGCAUGGUUACACUCUUGUUCCUGUUUUCUGUAAUAGAUAAUGAGCUAACAGGGAGAGGAAGGAAAGACAAUUGUUCUCCUUGGAUACUCCCUCUGGUCUCUAUGUAGACAGAGAACGUUCUCCUCCAGCCUCUGUUGAUCUCUGAAGGUCUUUAAUUCAAAAUGCACGUUACAUCAGGGACCACUAUUUUGGGGGUCUGCUGUCAUGUGAUGCUAUACCAGAGUCAAGCUGGAAUUUGGCAUCUUAGUGCCAAAGGGUCUGUUUCAUCCAUGAAGGGAUGUCUAUUUUAAUGUUAAUGCUGGGUAAUGAGGAAAAUGAGGCAGCCAGAUGGAGUCCCAGCAAAAGCAGACUUCAGGCAGAAGGAACGGCAAGUCCAGGGCUCUGGAUGAGAGAAGAUCAACAACAGGAGACAGAGGGACCCCUCUAGAGGCAGGAGGAAAGAUAAAUGGCCACAGGCUGCUGUCAUCUAGGCCAGGGUUCUGGCAGCAAUGAAAACACGUCUGCAGGAGGAGAAAGAAGUGCUUUUGAAUCCAUCUUACUCAUCGUCUGUCUCUUGUCUCUUCAAAGUGAAUGCAGUUGGAAGGAAAGGGACAGGUUGGUUCUGUGCUUUGCCCAAGUAGGUCCAAAUUCUGUUUUUUUUCAGGAUGUAGCAGGGUGAGCUGUUCUGACAAACUUGAUCUUAGCACAACAGGGGCAGUAAGGUCAUCAUCCCCACCAGUCCUUUGCCCUAGGAUUACAGGACCUGCCCCCAGAGGGACAGGAGCUCAUCCUACACUGUCCCAGUGUUUCUGUGAAACACCUUAGCUCCCUGGCUGAUUCCCCAGUGGCUCAGGGGCCCAGGGAGCCUCCUCACACCCAAGGUCCCUGUCCCCAGGUGUGGGGGAUCCCUAUGUAUGACAUUGUGGGUGACUGGGACUCCUCACUGAACAGGAUCAGUAAAGGGCCUGCCUGGCUCUAGGCACUCAUUCAGCUGCACUGGAAUUUGGAGAAAGAGGCUGCAGAAUACACCCCUAGCCCUAAUUAGGAAAGAAACAGAGUGGUCUUGAGUCAACUCCUGAAAGCUGUGUGUGCCCUGGAUCAAUGGCCCACGGGACAUGUAGAACAGAGGCAGGAAGUCCCACUGUAAAUGGCAGACUUCAGUUUCCAGGACUUAGAUUCCACUGGGAAGCAGCUGUCCAAUUCACAAAAUUGUCAGUGAUCAAAAUAAAUAUAAUAAAGUAGUUCAUUUUAAGCAAUGCAAAGAAAGCUGAGUGGCAGAUAAAGCUAAAGAUGAGCUCCAGAUGCCACCAGGCAUAGCACGUGGAGGGACUGCAUACCCGCGUCCAGCGUAACUUACAACUCCUGGAAUGCUGGGACUGUGCAGUGUUAAUUCUAAUGGCCCAUGGAGGCAUAAUUAAUUAACCUUUCAGUUACUCUGGGCACUGCCCUUAUCCAAACAUAAAUAUGUGUAUGCCGGGAAAAUUUUGCAAUAUAGAAAGCCGACAUCGUUGACUCCUUAUUCAUAGGCAAAUCCAGUGCUUUUCAAUUUUGACUGUGCAGCAGAAUCACCGAUGGAUUUUAUUUUUAAAAUAGGGGUACGUAUGUCUCAUCUCACCCAGGGUGAGGUCCAUGGAUCUAAUGUUAUGAAGCCCACAGUGGGUCCCAAAUCCCAGCUGAGCUCCAGGACUAGGAAUGUCACCCAGCCUCCCUGCUGUAGAGCUGCACCAUGGCUUUCGUUCUUCCCGUGGUGGAAACAAAGCUUGCCUAGAGUUUCUGGAUGCAGCAUCUCUCCGAAAACAAGCUGGGGCUCUGCCGCCCUCACUGGAGCACAGCCAGUGCUGUGGAGCCCCCAGAGUGGCCACAGGGAUAGAGGGGACUUAAAACUGAGUAGGGGGCAACAGAGUUGGGGGUCUAUCCACCACAUGUGGACACACAGCAAGUCAGGCAUGUGGGAAGGAGGGAACAGCAGCGUGGAAUGGAAAUGGCAAAUGUUCAUCCAGCCAGGUGUUAUUUUAUUUAUGGCUUCUGGGGAAAUGGGAUGAACAAUUUCAGAACAGCCUUGGGUUGAACUUGAUGCUGCAAAUGGAACUUAAUUGCUCAAAUAAUGUCAUAUCAAUUUCAUAUAAAUGAUAAAGAAGGAAAGUCCCUCUUUCUAGAGAGAAAACUCUCCUGACGGCAUCAGGCUGUCCUGGGAAGUCACUGCUUCCCUUUUCUGUUGUGGGGCAUAACGGGAGAUGAAGCUGGGAAUUGACAAUCUCUUUUUUCUGCUGGACUGAAACCUCCUGGAGCAGAAAAAUAGUUUUUUAUUUUGCAAAUGAAAGUCAAAGAUGUGGCAGGAGUUGAGGGUGGGCAUUGCAAGAGCUAAAUCCGGUGCUUCUGACAGCCCAGCCCUAGUGAGAGGCCCCUUCUGAGAGUCCCAGGGACUCUUAUGUAAAUGAAACUCAAAUAGAGCUCCCCACAGCACCUGAGCUUAGGGUCACCAGGCUCUGGGACUCUGUAUGUGCUCCCAGGAGAUUCCAUCCCCAGGAUAACACUGCAGGUCAAUUUGUGCUUUUCCUACCAUGCAAACCAUACUCUGGUAACUGUGCAGGAUUCUAAGAAAUAAACUUAUUGA